Macrobrachium nipponense is the source of this 2036-nucleotide long non-coding RNA. RefSeq lists it as uncharacterized. The record is from RefSeq and is a predicted model, not a curated record. The transcript is spliced from 2 exons. Lineage: Eukaryota; Metazoa; Arthropoda; Malacostraca; Decapoda; Palaemonidae.
CACUGAGGAAUAAGACGACAGAAGUGCGGUCAGUAAGAAUUUUCAGAAAUAUUUAAAUGAUUUUGGAAUUCCAGGGUGUGUAAUUCUUGACAAUGGGACUGAAUUCACAUCACAACAGUUUAGAGAUCUUUGCCAAAAGCACAACAUAAACACUGGUUUCAUCAUACCAUACCAUCCUGAAGGUAACAGCAUAUCAGAAAGAAUGCAUAGGGCUAUGAAGACCCUAUUGAAUGUCAUGUGUCAGGGUCAUAUCAGUGGCCAACCUAUUUAGGCGAAACCCAACGAGUCCUUAAUUGUGCUGUCCACGCAACAACAGGUGAACAGCCACAUUAUGUCUUCUUUAGCAGAGACCUGCUAGACAAAUAAUAACUACAUUACCGUCAAUUGAUGAUGAAGAUGAGUGAUUCUGAUAUCGCCAAAGUUCAUGAGAUAAUCCAAAAGACCCACUUAGAGAGGUCAAAAACAUUUUUAAGUAUAGCGAACCGAAAGCGAGUGAAUACGAGUGUUGAAAAGAAUUCACUAGUCUGGGUCAGAAAUGAGACUCAAAUACCUGGUACUAGUCGAAAGUUAAAUGUUAAGUGGCUCGGACCCUAUAGUGUUAGAAAUUGUGCGAGAUGGAUCCACUUAUGUGUUGAAAAAUUUGUUUGAUGAUGCAGUCGUAGAACGAGCUGCUAAUAAACUAAAGCCAUUCCACGGUGAUGAAGAAUGGUUAGUUACCAUGAAAGAGCACUCUGAAAAUGUGCCUGAUAUAGUAACUGAAGGAGUUCAUACAAGAGGUGCUAUGAAUAUUGUGCCUCCCUCACGUCUCAUUGAAGAGAUAUAGACUCUGUUUGAUGAUGUACAAUACUGUAAUUUUGUAUGUUUUGUAUUUUUUUUUUCUUAGUUUGAGAUUGAUGAAAAUGUAAUUUUUUAUGUUCACAGUGACCAGCAAUGUGAAAACUUUAUAGUGUUGAAGUAAUGAACAAAGGUAUAAUGUAAAACAUUUUGUACAAGAAUUCACAUAGUGCCCUGGUUGGGAAUGCAAUUGUGUCUUAUGGGUCUUGUAUUAUGAGAAAUUGUCAGUUUUGCUCUUGUAGUACUGGUUUGGUACAUCUUAGAGGAUAGAGUACACCACUUUCCAAACCCCUUUGAGAUUCAAGUUUAGAGUCGUUUCUAGCCAAGAGCUCUGGUGAGUUUGAUAAUCAUUAGGACGCCUCAAUAGGAGUAAAUUCUGUCUUCACAUGUGGAGAACUCUUUUGUUGCAGAGUGAUGUGACAUCCUGUGUAAGUGGAGUCAAUCUAACCCCAGUAUUAGGCUAGACAAAGCUAUUAGGAAAGCUGUUUUGAAUGCACACCUAUAGGGUAGUGUCCCCAUUUAGUACUCAAGUAUAUCCUUGUGUUAUGUUGUUGCAAGAGCCCCUUUAGUCUCUAGUUGAGAUAGUUGCUCGUUCCUACUGUACAAGACCUGUUUUUCCACAGUCACAGACCCAUCUAAGGAGCUGUUUGGUUCUGUUAGGAAAAGUUGUCCUUGAUAUUAGAGUGGACAUGAAUCAAUUCUUCCCCGAGGGAAAAGCUUUGUAAUGGGAAAAAUAUUCCUUUAAUUAUUAGUGUUUAUUUAGGAAUUGAUUCAUCAUCCUCCUCUAAUAUCUUUACACUACUAUUGUAAGUGAUUGGAACUGUGAAAUGUUUUCAUUUUUGUUGUGGACGAGUGUGGCUGUGUAGCCAGUCCCUUGUUUUGUUUUACUCUCACUUUGAGUAGUGGAGCGCUGCCCUGAAUCUUUCGUCUGCAUUUUGGUAACACUACACUAGCAACACAUGUAAGAAUCACGAAUGCUUUCGUGUGAGGGGUCGUCAACCUGUCCGCUCUUCAUUUUGGCUAUUUUACCAAAUAUUAAUACAAAUGAUUAUCUAUCCCUUACAAGGGAUCUAGUCCAGGGGAUCUAGUCCAGAGAUCUAGUCCAGGAGUUCUGAAGACUAGAUAAAUUAAUCAAGUCCAGGAGACUAGGCCUGGGAGAAAUUUAGCAUGAUGUACUGAGUAAUAAAGAAACACGCUGAGUA